This 433-nucleotide ribosomal RNA is filed under the name uncultured bacterium. RNAcentral's name for it is "partial 16S ribosomal RNA". It matches the Rfam family "Bacterial small subunit ribosomal RNA", at positions 29 to 507 of the family's 1533-position model. The record is from RNAcentral.
AACGAACGCUGGCGGCAGGCUUAACACAUGCAAGUCGAACGCACCUUUCGGGGUGAGUGGCAGACGGGUGAGUAACGCGUGGGAAUCUACCCUUCUCUACGGGAUAGCUCCGGGAAACUGGAAUUAAUACCGUAUACGUCCUGAGGGAGAAAGAUUUAUCGGGGAAGGAUGAGCCCGCGUUGGAUUAGCUAGUUGGUGGGGUAAAGGCCUACCAAGGCGACGAUCCAUAGCUGGUCUAAGAGGAUGAUCAGCCACAUUGGGACUGAGACACGGCCCAAACUCCCACGGGAGGCAGCAGUGGGGAAUAUUGGACAAUGGGCGCAAGCCUGAUCCAGCCAUGCCGCGUGAGUGAUGAAGGCCCUAGGGUUGUAAAGCUCUUUCAGUGGGGACGAUAAUGACGGUACCCACAGAAGAAGCCCCGGCUAACUUCGUG